This 75-nucleotide transfer RNA is filed under the name Alistipes finegoldii DSM 17242. RNAcentral describes it as "tRNA-OTHER". It matches the Rfam family "tRNA". Rfam says of the family: Transfer RNA (tRNA) molecules are approximately 80 nucleotides in length. Their secondary structure includes four short double-helical elements and three loops (D, anti-codon, and T loops). RNAcentral also lists the same sequence under 2 other names. The record is from RNAcentral. Lineage: Bacteria; Pseudomonadati; Bacteroidota; Bacteroidia; Bacteroidales; Rikenellaceae.
GGUCUCAUAGUUCAAGGGAUAGAACGAGGGUUUCCUAAACCCUAGAUUCGCGUUCGAGUCGCGGUGAGACUACAA